Molecule: ribosomal RNA, 253 nt
Filed under: uncultured bacterium
Lineage: Bacteria
Description: partial 16S ribosomal RNA
Rfam family: Bacterial small subunit ribosomal RNA
Source: RNAcentral
UACGAAGGGGGCUAGCGUUGCUCGGAAUCACUGGGCGUAAAGCGCACGUAGGCGGAUCUUUAAGUCAGGGGUGAAAUCCUGGAGCUCAACUCCAGAACUGCCUUUGAUACUGGGGAUCUCGAGUCCGGAAGAGGCGAGUGGAACUCCGAGUGUAGAGGUGAAAUUCGUAGAUAUUCGGAAGAACACCAGUGGCGAAGGCGGCUCACUGGUCCGGUACUGACGCUGAGGUGCGAAAGCGUGGGGAGCAAACAGG